GCACUGCUGAGGAGUCUAAUAAUAGGACGAAACGGCUGUGUAGUGU
This 46-nucleotide non-coding RNA is filed under the name Schistosoma mansoni. Lineage: Eukaryota; Metazoa; Platyhelminthes; Trematoda; Strigeidida; Schistosomatidae. The record is from RNAcentral.